UCCCCUACGGGGCGCAGCAGUGAGGAAUAUUGGUCAAUGGGAGAGAUCCUGAACCAGCCAAGCCGCGUGAGGGAAGACGGCCCUAUGGGUUGUAAACCUCUUUUGUCGGAGAACAAAACCCGGGACGAGUCCCGGACUGCGUGUAUCCGAAGAAAAAGCAUCGGCUAACUCCGUGCCAGCAGCCGCGGUAAUACGGAGGAUGCGAGCGUUAUCCGGAUUUAUUGGGUUUAAAGGGUGCGUAGGCGGUCCGUUAAGUCAGCGGUAAAAUUGAGAGGCUCAACCUCUUCGAGUCGUUGAAACUGGUU
Molecule: ribosomal RNA, 305 nt
Filed under: uncultured bacterium
Lineage: Bacteria
Description: bacterial SSU rRNA
Rfam family: Bacterial small subunit ribosomal RNA
Source: RNAcentral